This 465-nucleotide ribosomal RNA is filed under the name uncultured bacterium. Its description in RNAcentral is "partial 16S ribosomal RNA". It matches the Rfam family "Bacterial small subunit ribosomal RNA", at positions 338 to 795 of the family's 1533-position model. The record is from RNAcentral.
CCUACGGGAGGCAGCAGUAGGGAAUCUUCCACAAUGGGCGAAAGCCUGAUGGAGCAACGCCGCGUGGGUGAAGAAGGUCUUCGGAUCGUAAAACCCUGUUGUUAGAGAAGAAAGUGCGUGAGAGUAACUGUUCACGUUUCGACGGUAUCUAACCAGAAAGCCACGGCUAACUACGUGCCAGCAGCCGCGGUAAUACGUAGGUGGCAAGCUUUAUCCGGAUUUAUUGGGCGUAAAGGGAACGCAGGCGGUCUUUUAAGUCUGAUGUGAAAGCCUUCGGCUUAACCGGAGUAGUGCAUUGGAAACUGGGAGACUGGAGUGCAGAAGAGGAGAGUGGAACUCCAUGUGUAGCGGUGAAAUGCGUAGAUAUAUGGAAGAACACCAGUGGCGAAAGCGGCUCUCUGGUCUGUAACUGACGCUGAGGUUCGAAAGCGUGGGUAGCAAACAGGAUUAGAUACCCCAGUAGUC